UUAGCUUGAAGAGUAACUCUAUUUCCUUCCUGCUUUCGUUGCUUCAUACUAGGUCCAAUAGGGGUGUCAUUCUGUGUGCUAUGGCUUCUUUCGCUCCCCAUGUUGGAGAGAGAUGUUUGGCCAAAAGAAAGUGUACGAGUGGUGGAAACCAGCUUGACAAAGCUGAAGAGAGUGGGAAUAAGUGUCGAUUUCCCACAGACGACGCCAAAUGUUGAUGCACAAAAUCAGCGAGGACUUUGGUACAAUAGAAAGUGUCAGGUUUGUGACCUUCGCUUGGUUGCUU
This 283-nucleotide long non-coding RNA is filed under the name Malus domestica (apple). RNAcentral describes it as "long non-coding RNA (MDOM_LNC012101)". The record is from RNAcentral. Lineage: Eukaryota; Viridiplantae; Streptophyta; Magnoliopsida; Rosales; Rosaceae.